Molecule: ribosomal RNA, 229 nt
Filed under: uncultured bacterium
Lineage: Bacteria
Description: partial 16S ribosomal RNA
Rfam family: Bacterial small subunit ribosomal RNA
Source: RNAcentral
UACGUAGGCGGUUCUUUAAGUCAGAUGUGAAAGCCCGAGGCUCAACCUCGGGAUUGCAUUUGAAACUGAAGAACUAGAGUACAGGAGAGGUAAGUGGAAUUCCUAGUGUAGAGGUGAAAUUCGUAGAUAUUAGGAGGAACACCAGUGGCGAAGGCGACUUACUGGACUGAUACUGACGCUGAGGUACGAAAGCGUGGGGAGCAAACAGGAUUAGAUACCCUGGUAGUCC